GCAUUCAUGGUUUAGUGGUAAAAUUAGCCGUUGCCAGUGCUCCCAAGAGCUCAGAAGCUCGGCUAGCCCCGGGUUCGAUUCCCGGUGGAUGCA
This is a non-coding RNA of Peltaster fructicola, 93 nucleotides long. The record is from the annotation of a GenBank genome assembly. NCBI's taxonomy places the organism in Eukaryota, Fungi, Ascomycota, Dothideomycetes.